AAGAUCUAGAACAUCUCCCUCAUUGUCCAAAUGGAGAAACUGAAACCCAAAAGGGUAAAGGAACGCAUGACCCUGAGCUUUUGGACACUUGAUUGCUUUGCUUGGCCUUCUGGGAACAGUUCCUGACAGUACAGGUGCAUAAUAUAAAGUUCCUAGGAAAUCUCUCAAAGGUCAUCUGAGAAUGGAUUGUGAAAGAGCUGACUAUGUUUAACCAGGAGAAGACUUAUGGGAAGGACCACCACAUGGAAGAAGGAAUGGACUUGUUCUCCUCGGCCCUGGAGGAAAAAAGAAGGAACAAAAUGGGGAAUUCAUAAAGGACAAAUGUAGACUUUUCUGUGCCUUUGCAGUAAGAAGAGAUAGAGUUGGAGGCAACAGACUUCAUCUGAAACAAUCAACACAUGAACUGAGUUUGUUGGUAAGCAGAUUGAGGUUCAGAAAAGCAAAGUGAGUGACUUGCCCAGGGAUUAUAAGGAUAUUGAAACUCUUGAGAUCUGAAGUGAGUGUGACUUUCACCUUGAAGCCCUACCUUCACCUGUUUUGUUUUUAUUUUUGCAUUUUUUUCAAAUCUUCUUAUGUUCAGAGUGAAGAAAUCAUCUGAUAUUCAUUUCCCAAAGCCAGCAGCAAGCCUGCUGGUUAUGAUGUAUAAUUUAAAGCUUGGAGUAGACAAGUAACAAACAGGGUGAGAUUUUCCCUUCCUGUCCAGGGCACAAUUUCCUUUCGUGGCUCUGCAUGGAAGAGACCAACCUCCUUACCCAAUGAAGGCAUCCCCAGCUGAUGGAUGAUUAAAUAUGUAUUUGCUAAGUUGAUCUUUGACCUAAGCAUAGAUUUGUAAGACUUAGAUUUUGAGCUAAAAGGAACCUUGAAAAUGAUCUAGUCCAAUCCCCUAAUUUUACAGAUGGGGAAAGUGAGGCCCAGAAGCCCAAGGUUAGACAACUAAUAAAGGGCAGGUAGGU
This is a long non-coding RNA of Sarcophilus harrisii (Tasmanian devil), 953 nucleotides long. RefSeq lists it as uncharacterized. The transcript is spliced from 6 exons. The record is from RefSeq and is a predicted model, not a curated record. Lineage: Eukaryota; Metazoa; Chordata; Mammalia; Dasyuromorphia; Dasyuridae.